CCUACGGGGGGCAGCAGUGGGGAAUAUUGCGCAAUGGGCGAAAGCCUGACGCAGCGACGCCGCGUGAGGGAUGAAGGUCUUCGGAUCGUAAACCUCUGUCAGCAGGGCAGAACGGUCACUGUGCUAAUCAGCAGUGAAUUGACGGUACCUGCAAAGGAAGCACCGGCUAACUCCGUGCCAGCAGCCGCGGUAAUACGGAGGGUGCGAGCGUUAAUCGGAAUUACUGGGCGUAAAGCGCUCGUAGGCGGUAUGUCAAGUCAAGGGUGAAAUCCCCGCGCUCAACGUGGGAACUGCCUUUGAAACUGGCAAACUGGAGUGUGUGAGAGGAUAGUGGAAUUCCAGGUGUAGGAGUGAAAGCCGUAGAUAUCUGGAGGAACAUCAGUGGCGAAGGCGACUAUCUGGCACAUAACUGACGCUGAGGAGCGAAAGCGUGGGUAGCAAACAGGAUUAGAUACCCUAGUAGUC
RNAcentral lists this ribosomal RNA (465 nucleotides) under uncultured bacterium. RNAcentral describes it as "partial 16S ribosomal RNA". It matches the Rfam family "Bacterial small subunit ribosomal RNA", at positions 338 to 795 of the family's 1533-position model. The record is from RNAcentral.